AGGGAAACCGAGUCUUAACUGGGCGUUAAGUUGCAGGGUAUAGACCCGAAACCCGGUGAUCUAGCCAUGGGCAGGUUGAAGGUUGGGUAACACUAACUGGAGGACCGAACCGACUAAUGUUGAAAAAUUAGCGGAUGACUUGUGGCUGGGGGUGAAAGGCCAAUCAAACCGGGAGAUAGCUGGUUCUCCCCGAAAGCUAUUUAGGUAGCGCCUCGUGAACUCAUCUUCGGGGGUAGAGCACUGUUUCGGCUAGGGGGUCAUCCCGACUUACCAACCCGAUGCAAACUGCGAAUACCGAAGAAUGUUAUCACGGGAGACACACGGCGGGUGCUAACGUCCGUCGUGAAGAGGGAAACAACCCAGACCGCCAGCUAAGGUCCCAAAGUCACAGUUAAGUGGGAAACGAUGUGGGAAGGCUCAGACAGCCAGGAUGUUGGCUUAGAAGCAGCCAUCAUUUAAAGAAAGCGUAAUAGCUCACUGGUCGAGUCGGCCUGCGCGGAAGAUGUAACGGGGCUAAACUGUGCACCGAAGCUGCGGCAGCGACGCUUAUGCGUUGUUGGGUAGGGGAGCGUUCUGUAAGCCUGCGAAGGUGUCCUGUGAGGGAUGCUGGAGGUAUCAGAAGUGCGAAUGCUGACAUAAGUAACGAUAAUGCGGGUGAAAAGCCCGCUCGCCGGAAGACCAAGGGUUCCUGUCCAACGUUAAUCGGGGCAGGGUGAGUCGACCCCUAAGGCGAGGCCGAAAGGCGUAGUCGAUGGGAAACGGGUUAAUAUUCCCGUACUUGGUGUUACUGCGAAGGGGGGACGGAGAAGGCUAUGUUGGCCGGGCGACGGUUGUCCCGGUUUAAGCGUGUAGGCUGGUUUUCCAGGCAAAUCCGGAAAAUCAAGGCUGAGGCGUGAUGACGAGGCACUACGGUG
This 914-nucleotide ribosomal RNA is filed under the name Salmonella enterica subsp. enterica serovar Kentucky. RNAcentral's name for it is "partial 23S ribosomal RNA". It matches the Rfam family "Bacterial large subunit ribosomal RNA", at positions 670 to 1584 of the family's 2925-position model. Lineage: Bacteria; Pseudomonadati; Pseudomonadota; Gammaproteobacteria; Enterobacterales; Enterobacteriaceae. The record is from RNAcentral.